RNAcentral lists this ribosomal RNA (267 nucleotides) under uncultured prokaryote. RNAcentral describes it as "partial 16S ribosomal RNA". It matches the Rfam family "Bacterial small subunit ribosomal RNA", at positions 526 to 788 of the family's 1533-position model. The record is from RNAcentral.
CGGAGGAUCCGAGCGUUAUCCGGAUUUAUUGGGUUUAAAGGGUGCGCAGGCGGGAGAUUAAGUCGGCGGUGAAAUUUUGCAGCUCAACUGUAAAAGUGCCUUCGAUACUGGUUUCCUUGAGUGUGGAUGAAGUAGGCGGAAUUUGUGGUGUAGCGGUGAAAUGCAUAGAUAUCACGAGGAACUCCGAUUGCGCAGGCAGCUUACUAAACUACUACUGACGCUCAGGCGACGAAGGACGUGGGGAGUCAAACACGGAUUAGAUACCCU